RNAcentral lists this long non-coding RNA (202 nucleotides) under Elaeis guineensis (African oil palm). RNAcentral describes it as "long non-coding RNA (EGUI_LNC042205)". Lineage: Eukaryota; Viridiplantae; Streptophyta; Magnoliopsida; Arecales; Arecaceae. The record is from RNAcentral.
UGGCCAUCGGAUUGCAUUUGGAUGCACAAGAUUAGUCCAAAAAAAAUCAAAGAUCAGGCCUUAUCUCAAUCAAAAUCAUUGUCAGCCAUCGGAUCAUUGACAGGAUUGAUUCUGGACAGUCGAUCAGUGCACCAGAUCUCUUAUUCAUAGUCAGAUUCAAAGUCAGCCAUCAGAUCAUUCAUCAGAUCGAAUUUUGGCCGUU